This 48-nucleotide non-coding RNA is filed under the name Schistosoma mattheei. The record is from RNAcentral. Lineage: Eukaryota; Metazoa; Platyhelminthes; Trematoda; Strigeidida; Schistosomatidae.
AUCCAGCUGACAAGUCCCAAAUAGGAUUAAACGCACGUCAAACUAGAU